GUGGAUUUACUAGGAAGGUGGGACGUUGGAGGGGCGGCCGCAUGGAGUAAGUACUGUCUCUGGCCACCCAGCAGAGCCAGUGACAGUAGCGUCAUGGUAGGCAGGCAGGCGUAUCAGGUUUCAGAGGAUGCGGCUGGGAACGGGAGUAGAGGUGAGGGGACGUUGCAUCUGUCGCGGUGUGUAUCUUUUGGGGGUUCAGCGCCACCAGCGACCUGGGCCUCAUUCAUCGCGCUUACAUUUCUCCACCUCAUUUGAAGAACGAGCUUGGUAGCCCACGGAGCUGAGGUAUAUGAGCUCCCUGAAAGCACAAAGCAGUUAUUUCAAUCUUCAGAUCAUUCAGAGAUUAUGAAGGCACAAACCCUGCCUUCAAUUUGCUUAUAGUCAAGUGGAGCAGACACAAGUCAAUGAUGGCAGUAUAGCCACUUAAGUAAUCUAAAAGAGGUGAGUCUGGCACUUAACCUUUCCUGGGAGGGGGAGGAAUAAGGCAGUGUUUCCAAGAGGUGAUUUUGGAGCUAUACAGGCAUUAGGUAGACAAGGAAGGGGAGGUCCAUUCUGGGUGCCUAGGACUCUGUGGCUGAUUUAUAAAUUCUAAAU
RNAcentral lists this non-coding RNA (594 nucleotides) under Pongo abelii (Sumatran orangutan). Lineage: Eukaryota; Metazoa; Chordata; Mammalia; Primates; Hominidae. The record is from RNAcentral.